RNAcentral lists this ribosomal RNA (408 nucleotides) under uncultured bacterium. RNAcentral describes it as "partial 16S ribosomal RNA". It matches the Rfam family "Bacterial small subunit ribosomal RNA", at positions 28 to 526 of the family's 1533-position model. The record is from RNAcentral.
GACGAACGCUGGCGGCGUGCUUAACACAUGCAAGUCGAACGAAGUGGCGAACGGGUGAGUAACGCAUAAUCAACCUGCCCUUCCGCGGGGGCCAACAGUUGGCAACGACUGCUAAUACCGCAUACUGAAGGAGGGGCUUGCGUCCGAUUAGCAAGGUGGUGGGGUAAAGGCCUACCAAUGCGACGAUACGUAACGGGUCUUAGAGGAUGAUCAGUCACACUGGAACUGAGACACGGUCCAGACUCCUACGGUAGGCAGCAGUGGGGAAGAUUGGACAAUGGGCGAAAGCCUGAUCCAGCCAUGCCGCGUGUGUGAAGAAGGUCUUCGGAUUGUAAAGCACUUUAAGUUGGGAGGCGUUACCAACAGAAUAAGCACCGGCUAACUUCGUGCCAGCAGCCGCGGUAAUAC